GAGGCCUUAUUUUAAUUAAAAUAUCUGGGUUGCAUACAGGUGAUGUAGGAGAAGGUCCUAUAGGUCUUU
This 69-nucleotide transfer RNA is filed under the name Phrynocephalus frontalis. RNAcentral describes it as "tRNA-Ala". RNAcentral also lists the same sequence under 2 other names. Lineage: Eukaryota; Metazoa; Chordata; Lepidosauria; Squamata; Agamidae. The record is from RNAcentral.